Molecule: non-coding RNA, 30 nt
Filed under: Macaca fascicularis (crab-eating macaque)
Lineage: Eukaryota; Metazoa; Chordata; Mammalia; Primates; Cercopithecidae
Also listed under: 1 other name
Source: RNAcentral
CAGGAAAUGGGACUUACUGACUUAGUGAGC